CAAUAAAUGCCAACCUGCCUCCCAGUCGUCCCCUCCUUAUCUUUACAAGGCUGCAGAACAUGCAAGCUAGUGAUGUGGGGGUUCUCUCAUAACCCUCAGUCCCCAGGUGGGUAGAUGGCAGGUUGAAUAAAGAGAAGCUAGUGAUGUGGGGGUUCUCUCAUAACCCUCAGUCCCCAGGUGGGUAGAUGGCAGGUUGAAUAAAGAGAAGCUAGUGAUGUGGGGGUUCUCUCAUAACCCUCAGUCCCCAGGUGGGUAGAUGGCAGGUUGAAUAAAGAGAAGCUAGUGAUGUGGGGGUUCUCUCAUAACCCUCAGUCCCCAGGUGGGUAGAUGGCAGGUUGAAUAAAGAGAAGCUAGUGAUGUGGGGGUUCUCUCAUAACCCUCAGUCCCCAGGUGGGUAGAUGGCAGGUUGAAUAAAGAGAAGCUAGUGAUGUGGGGGUUCUCUCAUAACCCUCAGUCCCCAGGUGGGUAGAUGGCAGGUUGAAUAAAUAGAAAACAAUAGGCAACAUAAAACAAUCCAUAAAUGUAUAAUUAUUAUGUAAUUUACACAAAACAUUAAGGACACCUUUUCUUUCCAUGACAAACUGACCAGGCGUAACUCAAUAUUAGGAAGGUAUCCUUAAUAUUUUGUCCACUCAGUGGCUCUGACCCUUUACGUA
This 656-nucleotide long non-coding RNA is filed under the name Salmo salar (Atlantic salmon). RNAcentral's name for it is "lncRNA (ENSSSAG00000120403.1)". The record is from RNAcentral. Lineage: Eukaryota; Metazoa; Chordata; Actinopteri; Salmoniformes; Salmonidae.